This 497-nucleotide ribosomal RNA is filed under the name uncultured bacterium. Its description in RNAcentral is "partial 16S ribosomal RNA". It matches the Rfam family "Bacterial small subunit ribosomal RNA", at positions 28 to 507 of the family's 1533-position model. The record is from RNAcentral.
GAUGAACGCUGGCGGCGUGCCUAAUACAUGCAAGUCGAGCGAACGGACGAGAAGCGUGCUUCUCUGAUGUUAGCGGCGGACGGGUGAGUAACACGUGGAUAACCUACCUAUAAGACGGGGAGAACUUCGGGAAACCGUAGCUAAUACCGGAGAAUAUUUUGAACCGCAUGGUUCAAAAGUGAAAGACGGUCUUGCUGUCACUUAUAGAUGGAGCCGCGCUGCAUUAGCUAGUUGGUAAGGUAACGGCUUACCAAGGCAACGAUGCAUAGCCGACCUGAGAGGGUGAUCGGCCACACUGGAACUGAGACACGGUCCAGACUCCUACGGGAGGCAGCAGUAGGGAAUCUUCCGCAAUGGGCGAAAGCCUGACGGAGCAACGCCGCGUGAGUGAUGAAGGUCUUCGGAUCGUAAAACUCUGUUAUUAGGGAAGAACAUAUGUGUAAGUAACUGUGCCCAUCUUGACGGUACCUAAUCAGAAAGCCACGGCUAACUACGUG